CCUACGGGAGGCUGCAGUGAGGAAUAUUGGUCAAUGGGCGUAAGCCUGAACCAGCCAAGCCGCGUGAGGGAUGAAGGUUCUAUGGAUCGUAAACUUCUUUUAUAAGGGAAUAAAGUGUGGGACGUGUCCUGUUUUGUAUGUACCUUAUGAAUAAGGAUCGGCUAACUCCGUGCCAGCAGCCGCGGUAAUACGGAGGAUGCGAGCGUUAUCCGGAUUUAUUGGGUUUAAAGGGUGCGUAGGCGGCCUUUUAAGUCAGCGGUGAAAGUCUGUGGCUCAACCAUAGAAUUGCCGUUGAAACUGGGGGGCUUGAGUAUGUUUGAGGCAGGCGGAAUGCGUGGUGUAGCGGUGAAAUGCUUAGAUAUCACGCAGAACCCCGAUUGCGAAGGCAGCCUGCCAAGCCAUGACUGACGCUGAUGCACGAAAGCGUGGGGAUCAAACAGGAUUAGAUACCCUGGUAGUC
RNAcentral lists this ribosomal RNA (460 nucleotides) under uncultured bacterium. RNAcentral describes it as "partial 16S ribosomal RNA". It matches the Rfam family "Bacterial small subunit ribosomal RNA", at positions 338 to 795 of the family's 1533-position model. The record is from RNAcentral.